AGAAGACCAACGCGCAGGAGAAUAGAUCAAUAUCUACUCGUGUGAGUGAUAAUUAUAAUAUGCGCGUCUAACGGGAGGGAACAUUUUCUGCCCCAUAGAUGUGUGGGCUCUCUCUGCCAGUCACAAUAUUCCGGAGAGCGCCGCAAGGUAAAUUAAGAGAUGCGGCCCGCACAACAGUGUAUUUGUGUUAUUCGAGACACCGAAGACCUACCAGUCUGACAUCUACUGAACAUUGGUAUGCGGAUGCUCUCGAGCAGUAAAGACAGGUGUUCAUGGUGUCGUCAGCUCGUGUCGUGAGAUGUUGGUUAAGUCCCGCAACGAGCGCAACCCUUACCGAUAGUAGCCAGCAGUAAGAUGGGAACUCUAUUGGGACUGCCAGGGAUAACCUGGAGGAAGGCGGGGAUGACGUCAAAUCAUCAUGCCCCUUAUGACUUGGGGGACGCACGUGCUACAAUGGCGUGAACAAAAGAGACGCGAACCUGUGAAGGUGGGCGGUCUCAGGAAGCACGUCCCAGUUCGGAUUGUAGUCUGCAACCCGACUACAUGAAGCUGGAAUCGCUAGUAAUCGCAGAUCAGAAUGCUGCGGUGAAUACGUUCCCGGGUCUUGUACACACCGCCCGUCACACCAUGGGAGUCGAUAAUGCCCGAAGCCGGUGACCUAACCUCGUGAAGGAGCCGUCGAAGGCAGGAUUGAUGACUGGGGUG
Molecule: ribosomal RNA, 705 nt
Filed under: uncultured bacterium
Lineage: Bacteria
Description: bacterial SSU rRNA
Rfam family: Bacterial small subunit ribosomal RNA (bases 133-705)
Source: RNAcentral